CUUUAAUUUAAGCCUUAGUUGUUUAACAUGUGGUUUUUAUGAGAGGAGGUAACAUACAUUAAGAACACAAUAUGCAAAUCACACAGGAAACAUCCAUCUAAAAAAAAAAUAAAUAACUGAGAAACAUCAAUAUUUUCAAAUUUUAUUGUUUAUAAUACAGUAUGAUGUGAUUUACAAACUGGAAAAUAAAUUGAAUUAACUUCAAAACAGACUACUAAGUUAAAAUAAUAAAAAUCACAACAGAAGCCAGCACUCCAUAUACAGGAUAGUGCUAAGAAAACGAAUGUCCAGCAUUUUACAUCGAAAUGUUAAAUUAUUUUAUUCCAUACGGGUACAAGAAGAGCUGAACACAGCUUGUAAGAUUUGUCACUCUCCCAGUGUUGAAUAAUCUUGAACUUUUGAAAUGUGCUUUAUUUUGCUCAGUUUUACAAGUCUAUUACUUCCAGAAAGGUAUAUUACAAAGGUAUUUAAAAAGUUAUUCUCUCCAGCCUGGUAAUAGCUGCAUUGUAACGGGGUGUAUUUUCUAAGUAAAGAUCUCAAACGACUCAUGGGCUACAGUAACAUUCACUGUGUAGCUGGUAUAAUGUCACAAGUAAUUUUAUACACAGGGGACUAUUUUCUUUUAUAAACAAAGUCUUUAGCUAAUCAAAAAUCAUUUCACAUUAACAUUUGCUUUUUUACCUAUAAAAUAAAGUGGUUAACUAGAAAACAGAUCUACAGUAUAUUUUACAAUCUGCAUGUUAUCAGAAAUAUGCUACACAGUUUGACUUGUAGUCAAAAAACAGCAUAUUGAGGUUUCAUUGAGUUCCGUGAAACUCACCUUAAAAGCAAUAAGCGUUUUACAGCAACAAACAUUCUAUGUAAGAGUUUGUGCAAUGGGAACUCUGGAUCCAAAUCAACCAACCCUAGAUUUAACAAACUUUUUGUCGAACAAAUAAUAAUGAAUUAUCUAAAAGCGAGCCAGUGGUCGUGUACCCAAAAUUAAACGGGUUAAAUGCAAAAUCAGCUUCAGAAGAAAUUAGGGAAAUUUCGGGCCUCUGAUGAAUGAUUGAUGACAUUCCUGAGUAUCCGCUUCCAACUGCCUGAGAGAAAUUGGAGUUGUAUGUCAAUACAGCUUGGAUGCUAUCGCCAGUACUGAGCUGCCUCUUAAACACCGGUUCUUUAGAAAACGUAAUAUAGGCAUACAUUACUCUGCAAUAAUACAGGAUGAAUUAUAAACCAGAAUCAUGUAAUACGUGCACAUAUACGGAAAAUGCCAACCCACCAAUAUGGGCUAAUAUGUUUUUCAGGGGAGAGAAGUUAUUGGUUACAUUUUUAAAGGUCUUAUACACAAUGAAAAAAGAUUUUAAAAAAACAACUAAUAUUGUCAAACAAAAGGGUAAAUUGGUCACUUUAUUGCGAUAUUUCCUGCAAUUACAUUAGGGGGAGAAUGGAUUCUGUGUUAAGCUAUUCCUGUCUUGAUAUCUCCAAUUUACAGAAAAAGAAUCUUAUAUAAAUGCAGGACAUACUUUUAAAAAAUACACACAGAAACAAAAUGUUUAUAUAUAAAAAUAAUACUAUAUUAACCGGCACAGAUUAUAUAGGACGCAAGGCAGUAUAACAUUGGGGAAUGAGCAUUAGAUGCUAAAGGCUAAAUCAUUUUAUUAGAACAAAUAAAGAGUUUUAAUCUCCAACAUCCUUUUGAACCUUGCAGGUCCCCUAAAAAAAAACAAAACAAAAAAAACUUUGAUAUCAAACAUCCUUAUCUCUAUUCAUUUUAUACAAUUUCUCAAAACAUCAAAAUAAAGUGAAAAAAGCAAGUUGUUUCACAGUGGAUUUAUAAUUUAGAACAAAAAAAUAAAAUUAAAAAAAUGAUUUAUAAGCAGAAUAGAGAAGUGUGGAUAAUGUAGAUAAGAACGGGUCAUUGUGAAUAAAGAUAACUCUUACUUGGAGUUAAGAAUUCAAAUAGUGGGCACUUUUAUUGUAUUAAAAACAAAAAUAAUAAAAAAAAGUAUGAAAGGCAGACUAUAAAAAUCUUCAUUUAGGAGGAAAAAGGAAAAUAUUUUUUAAGAGAUCAGAGUGGUCCUUGCCAUCAGUGAUGCAUUACAGAUGUCAAUAAUCUGAAACAAAUAUGGGCAGUACAGCACAAAAAGGGUAUUUCGAGCUAUGGUUUUAAAAAGAACUAUCACUGGGAGUAACCCCUGGGUUAUAGGUUGACAGCUCCAGCCUUUGAAUUUUGCUCUAGAAUUCGUCUUUAUAAAUAACCUUUAGUCACAGAACAGUGUGUGUGUAGUACAUUGAAAUUCUUAUGUUUCAGCGGUUUGUACAAUCUCUCUCUCUUAACGGUAUUUAUUGGGCUAAAUUUAAAAGUUAAAGCUUAAAAAGUACAUUGUACAUUCCAGGUUGGAUUUGACUAUUAUAUAUAUAUAUAUAUAUAUAUAUAUAUAUAUAUAUAUAUAUAUAUAUAUAUAUCCCAAACGGUUUGCACUCCUGGUAAACCUAGAUAAUUUCUAUCCCUGGUGCUGGUCUCACAAAAAUACACAAUCCAGAAUAGUGACCGCACUCCAAGGACUUGUAAGAAAACGUUUGAAAUAAUACUUAACUUUUAUUGAUUCAUUGAAAAAAAGGUCGACGUUUCAGUCCCACCAAGGGUCUUUUUUUUUUUUUCCGGCUGUCCCGUUGGUGGGAUUGAAACGUCGACCUUUUUUUUUUUUUUUACAAUGAAUCAAUAAAAGUUAAGCAUUAUUUCAAACGUUUUCUUACAAGUCCUUGGAGUGCGGUCACUAUCCUGGAUAUAGUGUGUGUGUGUGUGUGUGUGUGUAUAUAUAUGUUUAUAUAUA
Molecule: long non-coding RNA, 2819 nt
Filed under: Pelobates cultripes (western spadefoot toad)
Lineage: Eukaryota; Metazoa; Chordata; Amphibia; Anura; Pelobatidae
Source: RNAcentral